UACGUAGGGUGCAAGCGUUAAUCGGAAUUCCUGGGCGUAAAGCGUGCGCAGGCGGUUAUGCAAGACAGAUGUGAAAUCCCCGGGCUUAACCUGGGAACCGCAUUUGUGACUGCAUAGCUGGAGUACGGCAGAGGGGGAUGGAAUUCCGCGUGUAGCAGUGAAAUGCGUAGAUAUGCGGAGGAACACCGAUGGCGAAGGCAGUCCCCUGGGCCUGUACUGACGCUCAUGCACGAAAGCGUGGGGAGCAAACAGG
Molecule: ribosomal RNA, 253 nt
Filed under: uncultured bacterium
Lineage: Bacteria
Description: partial 16S ribosomal RNA
Rfam family: Bacterial small subunit ribosomal RNA
Source: RNAcentral